Molecule: ribosomal RNA, 305 nt
Filed under: uncultured bacterium
Lineage: Bacteria
Description: bacterial SSU rRNA
Rfam family: Bacterial small subunit ribosomal RNA
Source: RNAcentral
UGCCUACGGGGGGCAGCAGUGGGGAAUAUUGCACAAUGGGGGAAACCCUGAUGCAGCGACGCCGCGUGAAGGAAGAAGUAUUUCGGUAUGUAAACUUCUAUCAGCAGGGAAGAAAAUGACGGUACCUGACUAAGAAGCCCCGGCUAACUACAUGCCAGCAGCCGCGGUAAUACGUAGGGGGCAAGCGUUAUCCGGAUUUACUGGGUGUAAAGGGAGCGUAGGCGGCGAUGCAAGUCAGAAGUGAAAGCCCGGGGCUCAACUCCGGGACUGCUUUUGAAACUGUAUGGCUAGAUUGCAGGAGAGGC